This 80-nucleotide transfer RNA is filed under the name Treponema sp. RNAcentral describes it as "tRNA-Leu". It matches the Rfam family "tRNA". From Rfam's summary of the family: Transfer RNA (tRNA) molecules are approximately 80 nucleotides in length. Their secondary structure includes four short double-helical elements and three loops (D, anti-codon, and T loops). The record is from RNAcentral. Lineage: Bacteria; Pseudomonadati; Spirochaetota; Spirochaetia; Treponematales; Treponemataceae.
GCGAGAGUGGUGGAAUGGCAGACACGCCAGAUUUAGGUUCUGGUGCCCCAGGCGUAAGGGUUCAAGUCCCUUCUCUCGCA